Molecule: non-coding RNA, 84 nt
Filed under: Planctomycetota bacterium
Lineage: Bacteria; Pseudomonadati; Planctomycetota
Description: Planctomycetes bacterium c-di-GMP sequence
Rfam family: c-di-GMP-I riboswitch aptamer
About the family: GEMM was predicted in a large-scale screen for bacterial structured RNA regulatory elements.
Source: RNAcentral
CUCCGAUAAAGACAAACCCUGAGCAAUCAGGGGACGCAAAGUAAAGGGUUUUUUAUUUGGCAGGAAUAAACCUUGAUUGUUAUU